GAUGAACGCUGGCGGCGUGCCUAACACAUGCAAGUCGAACGGACAUUUUUUGGAAAGUUCUUCGGAACUGGAAUCUAAAUGUUAGUGGCGGACGGGUGAGUAACGCGUGAGCAAUCUGCCUUUCAGAGGGGGAUAACAGCCGGAAACGACUGCUAAUACCGCAUAAGCCCACGACCCGGCAUCGGGUUGAGGGAAAAGGAGCAAUCCGCUUUGAGAUGGCCUCGCGUCCGAUUAGCUAGUUGGUGAGGUAACGGCCCACCAAGGCGACGAUCGGUAGCCGGACUGAGAGGUUGAACGGCCACAUUGGGACUGAGACACGGCCCAG
Molecule: ribosomal RNA, 325 nt
Filed under: uncultured bacterium
Lineage: Bacteria
Description: bacterial SSU rRNA
Rfam family: Bacterial small subunit ribosomal RNA
Source: RNAcentral